Molecule: long non-coding RNA, 215 nt
Filed under: Lathyrus oleraceus (garden pea)
Lineage: Eukaryota; Viridiplantae; Streptophyta; Magnoliopsida; Fabales; Fabaceae
Description: Pisum sativum (pea) long non-coding RNA (PSAT_LNC006547)
Source: RNAcentral
CAACACUCAGUCAGAGGAGCUAGCAUCUUCAUCAGCUUUAGACUCAGAACUGCCACUUGAUUUAUCUUGAGAUUCAGACCUCUCACUAGAGGUGCGGGGUCUGUUUCCUUGGCUUGACCAACAUCAUCUCUAUCUCCUUGCUCCAAGCUAUUAAUCAGAACCUCCAAAGCUUCUUUCCUAGCUUUAGCCACCCUUAUCCCAGUCUCUAAUUCCUU